AUGGAGGACUAAAAGUGCCAAAAUUAAAUAAAUAAAUACAUCAUUAAAUAAUUAAUUAAAUAUGUCAUUAAUUAAUUAAAAUUGGAAUUAAAUAUUUCAUUAAUUAAUUAAAAUUGGAAUUAAAUAUUUCAUUAAUUAAUUAAAAUUGGAAUUAAAUACUUAAAUGUGUUAUUAAAUAAAUAUAUCAUUAAAUAAUUAAAUAUGUCAUUAAUUAAUUAAAAUUGGCAUUAAAUAUGUCAUUAAUUAAUUAAAAUUGGCAUUAAAUAUGUCAUUAAUUAAUUAAAAUUGGAAUUAAAUACUUAAAUGUGUUAUUAAAUAUGUCAUUAAUUUAUUAAAAUAACAAUUAUUUUAAGUAAAAAACAUAUUUCAUUAUUUCACUAUUUAAUUAAUUAUUUCAUGGUCCUUGCGUUGCAGUGGAUCAUGAAUUUAUUUUAUCUGUCAACCUCGCCCGUCAAAGUCGGUGGGCGGAUCCUAACACCUGAUUGGUUACCCUGCACAUCAAGUCAAGGCAAAUCGAUUCCAGAUAAUGGAUUGACGCAGAGCUUGUGAACACAUUCCGAUACACUGGGUGGCGCUAUUCACCUCUACGUUGGUUUGGAUACUCAAUAAAACAAAACUUUAUUAGCAACCGCUAAAGACUCGGUCCUCUUUCCCAAAUGUUGAUACAUGCGGUGCAAGACAAAUUUUCCUUUAGCAUUUCCUUUAGCAUCUACUCGGCGCGCCACGGCUCGUCUCGGUUUAGUUGUUUUUCCAUUACAUUGAGUACCACCUCAUCGUGGGUUGAGUCGUCAUAGCACGGUGGCCCGAAAGUCCCUUACCGUCAUUUUUGUGCGACACAAACGCAAUGCAACAAUGUACAUGGAGGCGAUAGUACACCUGCUGCUCGGUCUGUGGCUUUCUGUCAGAUUCAGAGUAACAGAAGAGUCGGAGAAAGCUGAGAGCGGCGAGUCGAAACACUCAGGAGACACACAGGAGAGUUUGGGAGGCGAUACAGCAGUAUCAAGCUGAAGACAAGAGGAUAUGAACGAGACGACAUAUAAGGAUGCUCUCUGAUGAGACUUCAUGGGAUUUACCUGAAGCAGCAGCACAUGAGCCUGCAGUGGCACAAGGUGUAGAGGAGGAGGGCAGAGAUGUACAGGAUGCACUGAUGCACUACGUGUCAUGCAAAGUUAUUCUUCUUGUUAUACUUCUGUUUUUCUGUCCCCGGACCGCUAUUGUUUUCUUUAAUGCAAUUCUGACAAUAAACUUUUGUAGAUGUG
Amphiprion ocellaris (clown anemonefish) is the source of this 1259-nucleotide long non-coding RNA. RefSeq lists it as uncharacterized. The record is from RefSeq and is a predicted model, not a curated record. The transcript has 2 exons. NCBI's taxonomy places the organism in Eukaryota, Metazoa, Chordata, Actinopteri, Pomacentridae.